RNAcentral lists this small RNA (966 nucleotides) under Pongo abelii (Sumatran orangutan). Its description in RNAcentral is "retained intron". Lineage: Eukaryota; Metazoa; Chordata; Mammalia; Primates; Hominidae. The record is from RNAcentral.
GAUCAGCUGGCGGGCGGGCGGGAGCCGAGCGCGGCCCCGGCUCUCGCUGCAGCGCCGCCUCUUCUCUGCGUCGCAGGCCGGCCCGGCGGCCGUGACAAUGUCGCGGGGCUGGUAGCAGGGCGCCGGCCGCCGAGCCGUCUCAAGUUUAAACUUACACGAAUCGCUUUCUGGAGGAGGAGGGGACCCGCCGCGCGAUUGACACGCAUAUUCCUAUAGGCAUCCUCCCUCAGCCCCCACCCCCACGGCCGGAUUCGGGUGGCUCCUCUCCGAGGUGAAAUCCGAGAAGAAAUCCUUGGAUCUCUUUUCUUUUAAAAAAAAAAAAAAAAAAAAAAUUCUAGAAACCAUCGGUAUUUUGCUUUGCUGCUCCCUAUUCGCAAGAUGAAGAAGUUUUUCGACUCCCGGCGAGAGCAGGGCGGCUCUGGCCUGGGCUCCGGCUCCAGCGGAGGAGGGGGCAGCACCUCGGGCCUGGGCAGUGGCUACAUCGGAAGAGUCUUUGGCAUCGGGCGACAGCAGGUCACAGUGGACGAGGUGUUGGCGGAAGGUGGAUUUGCUAUUGUAUUUCUGGUGAGGACAAGCAAUGGGAUGAAAUGUGCCUUGAAACGCAUGUUUGUCAACAAUGAGCAUGAUCUCCAGGUGUGCAAGAGAGAAAUCCAGAUAAUGAGGGACCUUUCAGGGCACAAGAAUAUUGUGGGUUACAUUGAUUCUAGUAUCAACAACGUGAGUAGCGGUGAUGUAUGGGAAGUGCUCAUUCUGAUGGACUUUUGUAGAGGUAUGUAUAUGAACCAUUCCCUUAAGCUGUCAUUUCUCUAGCAUUUUGAUUGUCAUGGUUAGGGGGGUCAUUUCACUUAAUGUGCACUGCACUCUAUGGUAUGUUCUGGUUUGACAGAUGAGAAAACUAAAAGAUACAGUCUGCUGUCAACUCUUAGUUAUUCUUAUAAUGGUACAAAUGUAGAUAAUAUAAAACUC